This is an RNA transcript of Hemicordylus capensis (graceful crag lizard), 6577 nucleotides long. It is a transcript of the gene named zinc finger protein 250-like, with no coding region annotated. The record is from RefSeq and is a predicted model, not a curated record. The transcript is spliced from 3 exons. NCBI's taxonomy places the organism in Eukaryota, Metazoa, Chordata, Lepidosauria, Squamata, Cordylidae.
UUAUUAAAUGUGUCCGAUGCACACAGGUGCCUUUUUAAUGAAUAAUAUGAAUCAAUACAUGUUGUUGAAAAGGAAUGUGGUCUCUUAUUUCUCUGGAGGUUUAAAAUGGGCUAGAGCUGUAUGUUAACUUUGCUUUCCCUAAGGCCCAGGACUGAUAAGAAACAACAGGCAGCAGCUGUUUUUGAAUAUUGCUGGCAUAGCAGGUUUGAAGGCUGAGAGAAGCAGGGGCUGAAAGCUAAAAAAAAAAGUAGUGAGGAGGGAGGACAGGAGGGGCAAAUAGCGAGAGCAGUUUCCUACCUCUACCUCGUAGCUUGUUGAGAAGUGGACCUCAGGCUGCAGAUCUGGCUUGCCUGCUGCAGUAGAGGCCUUCACCAUGGUGAGAGGCUUCUAAGGCUACUGGACUGGCAUCUUGAUCCAGGGGUCCAAGUGUCUAGACACCCAGCUGGUUCCAGGGUUCCAAAAAGGACUUGUGCACAGUGUGUCCCAGAAGCUUUAUUCUGGGUUUGAGGGAGAGCCCAGAGGCAGGCACUCAGCUGGUAGUUUCAAGGGCAUUAUUGGACAGAGUGCCCAUCAAAUAUCCCACUUCUGGAAUCACCCUAGGGUCUGGAUGCUAGGGCAGUUACAGGGAUUCAGACAAAAUACAACAAAAGCAAGGGGGUGUCUGGAGAAUGUCCAGGUUCAUAAAAGACAAGGGGGUGGGUAUGCUAAUGUUUGGUAUUGAGGGUCCGGGGAGCUGUGCGCAUUUCCAGGUAUAGAAAUGGAGACUGACCCCCAGAACACAAACUUUGAUCUUUGUGACCAUCUUCCCUGGGACCAAGAAACUGAUUUAUAGAAACUUAGAUUUAAAUCGAUGUACAAGCCACGGUUCUGUGCCUGGGUCUGCCUCCUCAAGCUGUCAUUUUGCACUAGCAGCUCCCAAGGCUCUGGAAAAUCAUCAUCAUCAUCAUCAUCAUCCCCCAGUGAGGCACUACCUUGGCGUGGUUGUGGGCUUGCGUGCUCUGAGGAAGGUAAGAGCUAUGCCAGAGGUCCAACCAUACUGGACAGGUCUCACCAGAGGAGCCAGAUGAAGAGUGCCUCUCCCAUCAACAAUAUGGUGAGACGUAACUUUAAUAAAUCUAUACUGGAUCGGUCGUCACCCGGGUCAACAAGGACUGCGCCAGAUGCUGGAGUCCCUGGACAUCUGGUGGCAAGUGGGCAACAGAACUCAGGAUCUUCAGUUGAGCAACCAGGGCUGGAGACUGCAAGGUUACUGGAAGAAACGUCGCUUAACCAAAAACAAAAACAAAAAACGAAGAAUGCCAACAAGGAAAUAAUGAUCUGCUAUUACAAGUCUAGUCCAGCUAGAAGAGGUUAUUUAAAAAGAAUGUACCAAAUUUGGAAAGAGAAGCAUCCAGAUACAGAAAUAACAGGACAAAGGCUAGCAGACCAGAGAAGAUUAAUAAUAAGAAAUAAAGUAUUCACAGAAGUUGAGCUGGAAGAACUGCAAAGAGCAACACAGGCUCAAGACAUGGAAGAAGAAUUACCACCAACUGAAGAAGUUGCUCAGGCGCAGGUGGAGGAGGUGUUGGAAAUAGAGGGUGCCACCGUUGCUGAACUGUUUCAAAAUCAAAACCAGGCAACCUCCCCUCUACCUUCACCUCAAAAACUCAAAUGUCGUUUAAGAGAAAAGCAACAAGAACUAAAGCAAAAAAUAACUGAGCACAUGAACCAAACAACCACCAGGGUUCGACUUCCAACGCUAAAAACAGUUGCCAAAAAACAACUUGCUCAGGCAUUAAAAGUUGUCAAUGCUGCACUUGCAGAAAUAACAACCAAUAAUUUGCAAGAAACAAACCAACUAAUGUACAGUGCAGCAACAAUAACAACACAAGAGCUCAGAUAUAAGAUCAGUGGACCUGUAAAAAAAGGAAGUAGUACAUUGCCUAAAUGGAAGAUUAGAUUAGAAAAUAAAAUCCCCAGGCUUAGAUCAGAUGCUAGUAAAUUGAAAGAUAUGAAAGACAAGAAGCUGAAGAAUGAAAACACCAAACAGUAUCUGAUCCAAAAAUACCACUUAGAUUCAAGGAAAAUUAGAGAAGUCCUAGAAAUAAUAAAGCAGCAAAUAACAGCAGUGUCAAAGAAGAUUAGCAGAUACGAAGCCAGAAUUACACAACACAGGCAGAAUCUCCAAUUCCAGUCGAGUCAGAGACGUUUCUACCAAAGCAUAGAACGAGAAACUACAAGAAACCUAGAAACACCAAAUAAAGAAGAAACAGUGCAAUUCUGGGGGAAAUUAUGGGACAAUCCAAUAGAUUAUAAUAAAAAAGCAGGCUGGAUGAAAGAGGUCAAAAAAUGUAACCAACAAAUGCAGGAUCUAAUAAUAACACCAGAAUUAAUAAGUGAAAGAGCAAAGAAAAUUAAAAAUUGGACUGCACCAGACGACGAUGAACUGCAUGGCUUCUGGCUUAAACACCUAACAAGCCUUCAUAAACAACUAUCAAAAUAGUUCAAUCACAUUUUGCAAGGAGGUGAUAUUGAACAAUGGCUAACUACUGGGAAAACUCAUCUCAUCGUGAAAGACCCAGCAAAAGGUGCAGUUCCAAGUAAUUAUAGACCGAUAACCUGCCUACCAACCAUGUUCAAAUUAUUAACUGGAAUAAUAGCAGAUGAAGUAAUGUAACACUUAUUAACUAACAAACAGCUUCCAGUUGAAUAGAAAGGAAAUUGCCCAAACACCAGAGGCACAAAAGACCAGCUGCUGAAUGACAAAAUGAUUUUAGAAAAUUGCAAGAGAAGAAAAACAAAUCUAAAUGUUGCAUGGAUUGACUACAAGAAAGCCUUCGAUUCAUUACCUCAAACAUGGAUACUAAAAUGUUUAGAAACAACUGGUGUCAGCAAAAACAUUCAGAUAUUUAUUUAAAAAGCAAUGAGCAUGUGGAGUACACAGUUAACAAUCAAUGGCGAGACACUUGGACAGGUUAGCAUUAGAAGAGGUAUUUUCCAAGGGGAUUCACUAUCCCCGCUGUUUGCAAUCGCCAUGACUCCACUUUCACAAAUACUAAACAAAACAGGCCUCGGAUACCAAACAUCUAAAACAUCAAGUCAAAUCAACCAUCUGCUGUACAUGGACGAUCUGAAGUUGUAUGGAAAGUCCCAGUCAGAAAUCAAAUCACUGCUAAACAAUGUCCAUAUAUUCAGUAGUGAUAUAGCAAUGGAGUUUGGACUAGACAAGUGUGCUGCAUUAAUAAUGAAGAGAGGAAAAAUAAGAAAAACAGAAGGAAUAGAACUGCCCCAUGGAAGCGACAUCAAGAACCUGGAAGAGAAAGAACAUUACAAAUACUUGUGCAUUCUCCAGGCUGAUAACAUUGCACACACUGAAGUUAAAAAAAAAAUUGGAAGUGAAUACAUCAGGAGAGUUAGAAAAAUCUUAAAGUCCAAACUCAAUGGUGGGAACAACAUACACACCAUAAACACCUGGGCUAUACCUGUUAUCAGAUACACUGCAAGAAUAAUAGACUGGACCCAGGCAGAGCUAGAGGCGCUAGAUCGUAAGACCAGAAAAAUAGUGACCAUCCAUCAUGUUCUGCACCCCCGCAGUAAUGUAGAUAGGCUAUACCUCCCUCGCAGCUCAGGUGGAAGAGGAAUGCUGCAAGUCCAUCAAACAGUAAAGGAGGAGAAAAGAGGCCUUGAAGAAUAUAUCAAGGACAGUGAAGAAGAUGCACUUCAAAUGGUCAAUAACGCGAAACUAUUCAACACCAAUGAAAGAAAGCAGGCCUACAAGAAAGAACAAGUCAAGAACCGAGCAGAAAAAUGGAGAAAUAAGCCCCUGCAUGGUCAAUAUUUGCACAAUAUAAGUGGAAAAUCAGACAUCACCAAGACCUGGCAAUGGGUUAAGAAUGGCAACUUGAAGAAAGAAACAGAGGGUUUAAUACUGGCUGCGCAAGAACAGGCACUAAGAACAAAUGCAAUAAGAGCAAAAGUCGAAAAAUCCACCACAAACAGCAAGUGCUGCCUUUGUAAAGAAGCAGAUGAAACAGUGGACCACCUAAUCAGCUGUUGUAAAAAGAUCACACAGACUGACUACAAACAAAGGCACGACAAAGUAGCAGGGAUGAUACACUGGAACAUCUGGAAAAAAUACAAGCUACCUGUAGCUGGAUAGGGUUACACUCCCCCAGAAGGAGCAGGUGCGUAGCUUGGGAGUACUCCUGGACCCAGGCCUCACCCUGGUAUCUCAGGUGGAGGCCAUGGCCAGGAGUGCUUUCUAUCAGCUCCGGCUGAUUCAACAGCGCGCCCAUUCCUUGAAGAGGAUGACUUCAAAACAGUGGUGCACCAGCUGGUAACCUCCCGGCUUGACUAUUGCAAUGCGCUCUACAUGGGGCUGCCUUUGUACAUAGUCCGGAAACUUCAGUUAGUUCAGAAUGCGGCAGCCAGAUUGGUCUCUGGGGCAACCCUGAGAGACCAUAUUACACCUAUUUUGAAACAAUUGCACUGGCUGCCGAUAUGUUUCCGGGCAAAAUACAAAGUGCUGGUUAUUACUUUUAAAGCCCUGAACAGCUUGGGUCCAAGAUAUCUUAGAGAGCGCCUUCUUUUAUAUGAUCCCCACUGCACGUUACGGUCAUCUGGGGAGGUCCGUCUCCAGUUGUCACUGGUUCGUUUGGUGACGACUCAGAGGCGGGCCUUCUCUGUAGCUGCUCCUGGACUGUGGAAUGCACUCCUGGCAGAAAUUCAUAAUCUUGAUUCUUUACUGUCCUUCAAGAGAGCCCUUAAAACCUAUCUGUUUGGCCUGGCCUUUCAGGGUUUUUAAUCAGUUUUAAUUGUUUUAAUACCUGGUUUUCAGGGUUUUAAUUGUUUUGAUAGUUUAAUCAUUUUUUAAGUUGUUUUAAAUUGGUAUUUAUAUUUGUAUCUCUGUUUUAAUUGUUUUUAAUGUUUUUUGUUUUAAUUGUAAACCGCCCUGAGCCAUUUCGGAAGGGCGGUAUAUAAAUCAAAUAAAUAAAUAAAUAAAUAAAUAGAAGAAAAAGAAAUGGAAAAAAUCACCAAAUACAAAGAUCUACAAAUUGAAAUUGAAAGGCUGUGGCAGAAAAAGACCAAAAUAAUCCCAGUGGUAAUUGGCACCCUAGGUGCAAUUCCAAAACAACUUGAAGAGCACCUCAACACCAUAGGGGCCACAGAAAUCACCAUCAGCCAAUUACAAAAAGCAACUUUACUGGGAACAGCCUAUAUUUUGCGACGAUGAUAUCUAUAAUAACCAACAGUAUUGAUGAUAAAAUUCAGCCAUCCCAGGUCCUUGGGAAGGACUCGAUGUCUGGGUUGACAAACCAGUCAAUAACACCUGUCUGACUGUGUAAACAAGAAAUAAUAAUAAUAAUUAAUAAUAGUAGCUCCCAGAAGCUUAAAGUCUACCUAUCCUAUCCUAUGGUAUACAUGUUGAUUUCUUGUGUUCCACUGUCAUCUCUGGUGAACAGGUUUUUUUAAAAAAAUAUAUUAUACAUGAUAAUGAGAUUGGUUUGUUGCUCUUUUUAUUUUAUUUUUGGCCACCCUUCUACAGAUCCUUGUAUAUAGUUCCCUGCCCCCCUACCUCAUUUUAUCCUUUCAGAAAUUCUCUGAACUAGAUGAAUUAGAUGAGAUGCAUGUACAUGCCAUGGAAAAACAAUGCCUCUAUCAUACCACCUGGAACUCUCUGGUAAAAACUAUUGUUUCUAGCCAUAAGUACAGUACACCCUUCAGUGCAAAGUUUAUUUUAUUUUAUUAUUUUAUUUAAUCAUAUUUCUGUACCUCUUGAUAUAGACAUCUCCAGGUGGUUUACAAAGGUAAAACGUAACAAAUAUUAAAACAAUAUAAAAACAAUAUAAAACAGUUAAAAUUCAUAAACAGGUAAAAAACAAUCUUGGUGGAUAAAAACAGAUUAAAAUUUAAAAUUUUAAGGCAUUUUCAUGUAUGAAAAUUAAAACUGCCAUGGCUUCAAUGCAGAAGAAGACCCCAGGUUUACUCCCUGGCAUCUCCAGGUAGGGCUUGGAGAGACUCCUGUCUGAAAACAUAAAGAGCCACUGCCAGUCAGUGUAGGUGAUACUGAACUAGAGGGACCAGUGGUCUGACUCAGUAAGGCAGCUUCCUGUGUUCUUGUGUUCCAGGUUUUUGAUGCAGUAGUAAAAUGUGCAUUCACCGGAAUGCUCCUGCACAUUGCAAAGGUCUCUCCUCUGUUUCCAUUUGAAUGACAAGGAAAUGUUAUCAGAAAUAUAGAUAAAGUCUAAUGAGUUAUUUAAGCACAUGUAGACAAAGAAUGCCCUCCUAUUGCCAGGGUUCACAUCUUUUCCUCUCCUCUCCUUCCACCUGCCCUCUUAGGGAGCUGUAAAAUUAUUCAUGGGCAAUUGUCUGCUGUAACUGAGUUCUGGAUGAAUCUGCUCUGACUACUACCUUCAGCCAGUUGAGUUUUGUGCUGGAGACAGGGAGGUGAAAAUCAAUGCUAAAGGUUUCCAGUUGUUCAGCCAGGUGUGACCACUGGUCCAGAACAAAAAGAAAGGCUGUGGAUAUUGAACUUCCAGGAAUCUCAGAAAAACCAGCCCCAUACAAAUUCCAUUCCAGGUCAUUGUUGUCAACAGGG